RNAcentral lists this ribosomal RNA (637 nucleotides) under uncultured cyanobacterium. RNAcentral's name for it is "bacterial SSU rRNA". It matches the Rfam family "Bacterial small subunit ribosomal RNA", at positions 1 to 688 of the family's 1533-position model. The record is from RNAcentral. Lineage: Bacteria; Bacillati; Cyanobacteriota.
GCUUAGAGUUUGAUCCUGGCUCAGGAUGAACGCUGGCGGCGUGCUUAACACAUGCAAGUCGAACGGUCUCUUCGGAGAUAGUGGCGGACGGGUGAGUAACGCGUGAGAAUCUGCCUUUAGGUUCGGGACAACAGUUGGAAACGACUGCUAAUACCGAAUGUGUCGCAAGAUGAAAGAUUUAUUGCCUAAAGAUGAGCUCGCGUCUGAUUAGCUAGUUGGUGGGGUAAAAGCGUACCAAGGCGACGAUCAGUAGCUGGUCUGAGAGGAUGAUCAGCCACACUGGGACUGAGACACGGCCCAGACUCCUACGGGAGGCAGCAGUGGGGAAUUUUCCGCAAUGGGCGAAAGCCUGACGGAGCAACGCCGCGUGAGGGAGGAAGGCUUUUGGGUUGUAAACCUCUUUUCUCAAGGAAGAUAAUGACGGUACUUGAGGAAUCAGCAUCGGCUAACUCCGUGCCAGCAGCCGCGGUAAUACGGAGGAUGCAAGCGUUAUCCGGAAUAAUUGGGCGUAAAGCGUUCGUAGGUGGUUUUGCAAGUCUGCUGUUAAAGCGUGUAGCUUAACUACAUAAUGGCGGUGGAAACUGCAAAACUAGAGUGCGUUCGGGGCAGAGGGAAUUCCUGGUGUAGCGGUGAAAUG